AUGGUGUCGUGGAGCGACGAGACCAGUGAGGAUUCAGUCAUGAACAUCUCCUCCUCCUGCGAUGGCAUCAUCCAGCUUCCAGCUACGAUGCACGAUCCAAAUUUCAAUGGCACUGACGCAGAUGUGAAUGUUUUGUGCGAACACGGCGAGCCGGCCGAGCGCUUUGUUGCAUUUGAAGGGAUGCACACCGGCAGGAGGUUUAUAGGAUGUGCUAAGAAGGAAGGCAUAAACUGUGGAGUAGUUCAAUGGAUUGAUUUUGAAUGGCCAGACUCAAUGGAGAAGGCAUUGGCCAAGUUAUGGGAUAUGUAUGAGGAGAUUAAGUCAGCUAGGACCAAUGACAAUCUGGAGAGUUCCUUUGCAAUUCACAACCUGACAGAAGAGAAGAAGAAACUACAGGAGAAUUAUGAUAGUUUGUAUGCUGAUGUCAAUGCUCUCUUGGAUGCCCAGCAACAGAGGGGUCUGGAGUUGAACAAUCAAAAGGAGCAGAAGCAAUGUCUUGAUGUGAAGAUUGCAGAGCUAGAAACUGUAGUGGGCAACUUGAAGGCAGAGCUGGCAAAGAAAGAGGAGGAGAAGAAGAAAGUACAUGAGGACUAUGACAGUUUGUAUGCUGAUGUGAAUGCUCUCUUGGAUGCCCAACAGCAGAAGGGUGUGGAGUUAAACAAUCAGAAGGAGCAGAAGGAAUAUGUUGAUGUGAAGAUUGCUGAGCUAGAAAUUGUAGUGGGCAACUUCAAGGUAGAAUUGUCAAAGAAAGAGGGGGAGAAGAAGCUGCUGCAAAAAUAUGAGACUCUAGUGAACCUGACAGGUGCUCAAGCCAAUGUGAUUAGGAACUUGAAGUUCAAUCAUUUGAAGGAGAAGGAAAGGCUGACAGAAGAGAGGCUUAAAUGCAGCAUCACAUUUCUGAGCUUCAAAAGUCUGAGGAGAAGAUAA
RNAcentral lists this ribosomal RNA (927 nucleotides) under Triticum aestivum (bread wheat). RNAcentral's name for it is "partial small subunit ribosomal RNA". Lineage: Eukaryota; Viridiplantae; Streptophyta; Magnoliopsida; Poales; Poaceae. The record is from RNAcentral.